This 1434-nucleotide ribosomal RNA is filed under the name marine metagenome. Its description in RNAcentral is "bacterial LSU rRNA". It matches the Rfam family "Bacterial large subunit ribosomal RNA", at positions 1078 to 2482 of the family's 2925-position model. The record is from RNAcentral.
AAAUCGCCCAGACAGCUAGGAGGUUGGCUUAGAAGCAGCCAUCCUUUAAAGAAAGCGUAACAGCUCACUAGUCGAGGGGUUUUGCGCCGAUAAUAUCCGGGACUAUAAGUAUCAUACCGAAGCUUUGAGAUUCUUAGAAUCGGUAGGCGAGCGUUCCAUUGACCGUUGAAGGUGGACCCGUGAGGGCCGCUGGAGGAGAUGGAAAUGAGUAUGCUGGCAUGAGUAGCGAUAAACACAGUGAAAUUCUGUGUCGCCGUAAGCCCAAGGUUUCCUGAGUAAAGUAACUCUGCUCAGGGUUAGUCGGACCCUAAGUCGAGGCCGAAAGGCGUAGACGAUGGAAAACGGGUAAAAUAUUCCCGUACCAGCGGUUAAUUGUCUGAACUAAGGGGGGACGCAGGAGUGAAAGAUCAGCACGGUAUUGAAUAUCCGUGUCUAAGCAUGUAGGGUGAUCCGGUAGGCAAAUCCGCUGGAUCUUAUAAGCCUGAGAUGUGAAUGGGAAGCGCGCCUUCGGGCAAGCCAACUGAUCCUAAUCAAACUGCCAAGAAAAUCCUCUAUGUUAGAUUAACAGCUGACCGUACCGUAAACGGACACACGUGGGCGAGGAGAGUAUCCUCAGGCGCUAGAGAGAAUCAUGGUUAAGGAACUCGGCAAAAUGGCCCCGUAACUUCGGGAGAAGGGGUGCCCUAAUUAGGUAAUGAUCUUCGCGAUCGGAGCUGAAAAGGGUCGCAGUGAAGAGGCUCAAACGACUGUUUAACAAAAACACAGGUCUCUGCUAAAUCGUAAGAUGAAAUAUAGGGACUGACACCUGCCCGGUGCCGGAAGGUUAAAUGGCGAGGUUAGUUCUUCGGAACGAAGCUUUAAAAUGAAGCCCCGGUAAACGGCGGCCGUAACUAUAACGGUCCUAAGGUAGCGAAAUUCCUUGUCGGGUAAGUUCCGACCUGCACGAAUGGUGUAACGAUUUGAGCACUGUCUCAACCAUGACCUCAGCGAAAUUGAAGUGUCGGUGAAGAUGCCGGCUACCCGCAGCAGGACGAAAAGACCCCGUGAACCUUUACUAUAGCUUAGUAUUGGAUUCUGGUUCUAUUUGUGUAGGAUAGGUGGGAGGCUUUGAAGCUUAGGCGCUAGUUUAAGUGGAGCCAACCUUGAAAUACCACCCUUGUAUUGCUAGAAUUCUAAUCCUGAUCCGUGAAUCCGGAUAGGAGACAUUGCUAGGUGGGUAGUUUGACUGGGGCGGUCUCCUCCUAAAAAGUAACGGAGGAACCCAAAGGUCUCCUCAGCACGGUCGGUAAUCGUGCGUAGAGCGCAAAGGCAUAAGGAGGCUUAACUGCGAGGUCGACGGACCGAGCAGAUGCGAAAGCAGGGCUUAGUGAUCUGGUGGUUCCGUAUGGAAGGGCCAUCACUCAAUGGAUAAAAGGUACUCCGGGGAUAACAGGC